RNAcentral lists this ribosomal RNA (1372 nucleotides) under uncultured bacterium. Its description in RNAcentral is "bacterial SSU rRNA". It matches the Rfam family "Bacterial small subunit ribosomal RNA", at positions 28 to 1381 of the family's 1533-position model. The record is from RNAcentral.
GAUGAACGCUGGCGGCGUGCCUAAUACAUGCAAGUCGAGCGAACGGACGAGAAGCUUGCUUCUCUGAUGUUAGCGGCGGACGGGUGAGUAACACGUGGAUAACCUACCUAUAAGACUGGGAUAACUUCGGGAAACCGGAGCUAAUACCGGAUAAUAUUUUGAACCGCAUGGUUCAAAAGUGAAAGACGGUCUUGCUGUCACUUAUAGAUGGAUCCGCGCUGCAUUAGCUAGUUGGUAAGGUAACGGCUUACCAAGGCAACGAUGCAUAGCCGACCUGAGAGGGUGAUCGGCCACACUGGAACUGAGACACGGUCCAGACUCCUACGGGAGGCAGCAGUAGGGAAUCUUCCGCAAUGGGCGAAAGCCUGACGGAGCAACGCCGCGUGAGUGAUGAAGGUCUUCGGAUCGUAAAACUCUGUUAUUAGGGAAGAACAUAUGUGUAAGUAACUGUGCACAUCUUGACGGUACCUAAUCAGAAAGCCACGGCUAACUACGUGCCAGCAGCCGCGGUAAUACGUAGGUGGCAAGCGUUAUCCGGAAUUAUUGGGCGUAAAGCGCGCGUAGGCGGUUUUUUAAGUCUGAUGUGAAAGCCCACGGCUCAACCGUGGAGGGUCAUUGGAAACUGAAAAACUUGAGUGCAGAAGAGGAAAGUGGAAUUCCAUGUGUAGCGGUGAAAUGCGCAGAGAUAUGGAGGAACACCAGUGGCGAAGGCGACUUUCUGGUCUGUAACUGACGCUGAUGUGCGAAAGCGUGGGGAUCAAACAGGAUUAGAUACCCUGGUAGUCCACGCCGUAAACGAUGAGUGCUAAGUGUUAGGGGGUUUCCGCCCCUUAGUGCUGCAGCUAACGCAUUAAGCACUCCGCCUGGGGAGUACGACCGCAAGGUUGAAACUCAAAGGAAUUGACGGGGACCCGCACAAGCGGUGGAGCAUGUGGUUUAAUUCGAAGCAACGCGAAGAACCUUACCAAAUCUUGACAUCCUUUGACAACUCUAGAGAUAGAGCUUUCCCCUUCGGGGGACAAAGUGACAGGUGGUGCAUGGUUGUCGUCAGCUCGUGUCGUGAGAUGUUGGGUUAAGUCCCGCAACGAGCGCAACCCUUAAGCUUAGUUGCCAUCAUUAAGUUGGGCACUCUAAGUUGACUGCCGGUGACAAACCGGAGGAAGGUGGGGAUGACGUCAAAUCAUCAUGCCCCUUAUGAUUUGGGCUACACACGUGCUACAAUGGACAAUACAAAGGGCAGCGAAACCGUGAGGUCAAGCAAAUCCCAUAAAGUUGUUCUCAGUUCGGAUUGUAGUCUGCAACUCGACUACAUGAAGCUGGAAUCGCUAGUAAUCGUAGAUCAGCAUGCUACGGUGAAUACGUUCCCGGGUCU